RNAcentral lists this ribosomal RNA (414 nucleotides) under uncultured Hyphomicrobiales bacterium. RNAcentral describes it as "bacterial SSU rRNA". It matches the Rfam family "Bacterial small subunit ribosomal RNA", at positions 29 to 457 of the family's 1533-position model. Lineage: Bacteria; Pseudomonadati; Pseudomonadota; Alphaproteobacteria; Hyphomicrobiales. The record is from RNAcentral.
AACGAACGCUGGCGGCAGGCUUAACACAUGCAAGUCGAACGCACCCUUCGGGGUGAGUGGCAGACGGGUGAGUAACGCGUGGGAAUUUACCUCAGACUAUGGGAUAACACAGAGAAAUUUGUGCUAAUACCAUAUGUGUCCAUUAAGGGGGACCUUAAUGGGGAAAGAUUUAUCGGUUUGAGAUAAGCCCGCGUUGGAUUAGCUAGUUGGUAGGGUAAGAGCCUACCAAGGCGACGAUCCAUAGCUGGUCUGAGAGGAUGAUCAGCCACACUGGGACUGAGACACGGCCCAGACUCCUACGGGAGGCAGCAGUGGGGAAUAUUGGACAAUGGGCGCAAGCCUGAUCCAGCCAUGCCGCGUGAGUGNUNAAGGCCUUAGGGUUGUAAAGCUCUUCACCGGAGAAGAUAAUGACGG